GGGCAAAUAGCUCAACGGUUAGAGCAGGGCACUCAUAAUGCCUUGGUUGGGGGUUCGAAUCCCUCUUUGCCCA
This 73-nucleotide transfer RNA is filed under the name Caulobacteraceae bacterium. Its description in RNAcentral is "tRNA-Met". It matches the Rfam family "tRNA". From Rfam's summary of the family: Transfer RNA (tRNA) molecules are approximately 80 nucleotides in length. The record is from RNAcentral. Lineage: Bacteria; Pseudomonadati; Pseudomonadota; Alphaproteobacteria; Caulobacterales; Caulobacteraceae.